GUAGUUAUGAUAUUGGUCAUUUAUUGGUUAUGAAUACAUUUUUCUUAAAUUCAUUUUUAUUUACAUUUUGUACAUUUUCUUGUUUGUCUUUACCGAGUGGGUCUAUAGUUCUGGAGCACUUUAUAUUAAAGGGAUAGUUUAUCCAAAAAAGGAAAAAAAAUCACUUACCAAAAUGUAUUCCGGAAUGCACAUAGUAAUUUUAUUUCAAUCAUCCAUUAUUCAGCUCUGUCCCAGGCUGUAAUUAGCGUUCUUAGCAUCCUCCAAAUUCAUGAAUGGAAACUGUUCGUCCCACUAAAGCAUUGCGGCAUUGUGAGUGGAAAACUACUCAAAAACACUCCAAACUAAGACUAGUGUUGUUGUUUAACUCAAAGAACAUGACAAUAUUUUAUUCUUUGAAAAAAGGUGUAAGUUUUGCGAUAUUAUUGUCAUUUCAAAUAAACUGGUUCUUCCUGUAUUAACUGGUCAGUAUUGUUCGCAAUCGCAUCAAUCUGCAUAUUCUUUUGGGAAGAGGAGGUAAAUAUGUCACAAAGGAAAAUACAUAUGACUCUGAUUACGACCAGGAAGAAGGUUGUUUCAAUGAGAGUACUUGUUUCAAUGAGAAUACAAUAGAGGCUAGGACAGCAGCUGAUGAUGGGGGAGAUGCUGAACCAGUCAAUCCCCAACCCGGGUCCCUUGUACCUUUCUUUGCAAACAAAACACAAUCGCAGCAUUUUUCCACAAUGUUAAAAGGCCACCGAUGGUAUUCAUGAUAAUGGGCCAACUAGAGAAACUCUGAACUCACGUAACUUCUGGAGGUUAAAGUUCACUCCCGCCCCGAUGACGUCAUUGCCAAAGGGCAGAACCUGUGUUGAGUGGUGUUGUAAUUGGUUGAACUAAUGUAUUAGUGUUACGGAAUUUCUUCAACUGAUGAAUACUUAAUUCUAUAAAUGAGUUACUAGUUUAAAGUCCUGAGUCCCUAUGUUUAGAUACAAAAAGGAAUGUAGGAGUGGGGGAUCUGGUAUUUGUUUAUGGUCGUCAUUGAAUGGUGUCAGUGGAUCAUUGGGUCCUCUGUCGAUCUGUCUGUCUGUUUAAACCAUCAGUGUAUCUGUUCUAAUUGGUGAAUUGCCAACACUGUGCCUAUAAGAAAAAGUUUGUUGGUGCCAGCUUGGAUUGACCAGAUUCCGCUGGCUGUUUUGUCAGUGUACAGUUUAAAAAGUCGUUGCUACCGCGACAAAUUACUGAAUGUAGUUUGAAGUGUUUUGGAAUAGUUUUCCGCUUUCAAUGCAGCUUGGCUGUAGUGGGACGAACAGUUUUCAUUCAUGAAUUUGGACGACGCUAAGAACGUUAAUUACAGCCGGGGACAGAGCUGGAUAAUGGAUGGUUGGAUUACUUUUGGCAAGUGAAUCUUUUGAAAUAUGACUUUUGGACGAACUAUCCCUUUAACUUACAUGUAAAUUGGGUUAAAAUGGACGUCUGAGAGUUGCCACAUGAAGUCAGAUGCUUUUGUCUUCUCUUGGUACUGAUCUCCACACAUUCCUGCCUUCCCCCAACCUCCUUUCCUUGUUUCCUCUUCUUCACUCAUCCUCCCAUACCUACUUAUCCUCUCCCUCCUCUUCCUUUUUCCAGAAGCCUGUCCCCUUCCUCCGCUUCGCCUCCCCCUCCAAUCUGCGGCUGUUGCAUGAUUCAUGCUCCCUAACAGUGAGCCUUGUGGACAUGAAUAUAUAUGUCUGUGAUUAUAUAAUAUAAGCCCUUACGCAACACACACACACACAGAUUCACAUGGGGUGAUGGCAUUCGGGGAUAGAGCUUGUGUUUCUUGUUUGGAUUAAGCCAAAUCCCGCCCAGUCUCCAAAACACAUACACACAUUCGUGCGUACAAAAACACAUAUGCAUGUGUGUGGCUACAGGCUUACUCAGACAUUUAUGAAAAUCAAAAAAUGCUUUUAGUUCACAUGCUUACACCAAAAGAUUUUAAAACACACAGAGAGUGGGAUUUACGUGAGGCUCAUUCUUAACGCAGCUUUAGCUCUCUCCAGCUCUUCGAAAAGACAGGAUUUGUGGUAUAAAUUCUAAAUAAGUUUCCUUGCAUUUCUGUGCCAAGACCACGGCAGUCAUACCUCCAAGAACGUAACGCUUUAAUAUGACUGUGCUAAAUGCUUGAAAUCUCUGUCAUGUCACUACGAUAAUCGCGGGUAAAAACAUAAAAGAAUACGUUUCUUGUUUCACAUCCUGUUGCUGACUUGUCUCCAUGGUAACUGGUCUCCAUGGUGAUAGGAUGCAUUUCCCAGAACAGGGUCUGCACGGUUUACUUCCAUCUGUGGCUCCCUUACAUGUCCCAGUCUCCGGUUCCUUCUCUGCCUCGACCUCGCAGGCACCAUACGUCACAGGCCCAAAGAUGGGGGACGGACUGUUAGGGUGAACAUGUUCUAGAUCCAUGGUGGAACAUGACACGCUGUCAAGGUAUCUCUGAAGGUUCAAGGCCUGUGUCGCGGAUAUCUCAUCCGCUUGGGUCUCAGGGGCGAUGUGAAGCUAAGGAGGGGUGGGGGGUGGGGGGGGGGGGGGUGAGAACAGAGUUAGAGAGGAUGGGACGAGGACCGGGAGAGAGCGAGAUUAAGGAUUGAGAUAGAACAGGGGGACGAUGAAGGAGGGGGUGAGUGACUGGUGCAAGGCUUUAUUUAGCCCAUGCCUGCAGGUGUUGCCUAGUAACAGAAUUGAAACGAGGAAAGUGCGCAUAUUGCCUUUUCUUUUUCUUUUGCUUGUUCUAAAUCUCUAUCUGUUUUUGCUGUUUCCUCACUGCUAUGCGUCACGCAGAUUCCGUCCAUGCAUUGGGACUGUAGUGGAGGAAGCUUUGAUCUGUCGUACUGUGGUGUGUUCCGGUGCCUGGAGACACCUCAGCAGUCCUGGAUCAAACAACCAUCCCUUUCUCCUCUCUAAUGGCCGGGUGGUCUUUUCUUUAUAAUGCACUAAGUCAGUCACUCCAGUGUUGCUAACUCCUCCCACGGAGUGACACACUGAGACAGGGGGACGUGGUAUUGCAUGGUAAUGUUAAGAGGCACAUUCCCUUGAGGUUCCUGUAGGGUUUUCUAUAUCCAUGCCUAUACUCAGACACCUCCCAAAUGAUUAACACCCCUGACGAAAAUGAGCAAAACGGACUAUUUUGAAGGCACACAACAAUCUGAGAAAACGAUAUCACUUCAUUGCAACACCAUAGCUCACAGAAUAGGUUUUAUUUUUAAUGUAAUUUUGAUUAUAUAUUUUUUUUUAAAUGACCCGAGUGCAUUGUCAUCUUCAAGCACAGAAAGCAAAGAAGAGUCAAAUAGCCACAUUCGGACAGCUACGGAGGAGGCAUUUUGGCAUCUCUGAGUAUCCAAAUCUAGAAUUUGGCUCCACCUACACUCCAAUAGCAUAUUUGGUAGAUAUGAACAACAAGCCUUUAUUGAAGGAAACUAACGAACGGAGUUGUUAAAAACUAUUGGGCCUUGGAUUGGUACCAGGUUCUAUGGUUAGGUAUAAAUAAAAUGAUUUGGUCACACAUCAGUGGUGGGUUUGGUGUCAUUCUGGCGUACAUUGUUUUGGGAAAUGCUGUACAUAUAUAAUAUGAGAAAUGGGUCUUUUUAGUUGACCAUCUAGAAUUAUUGAUGUAAUUAACAGUGUUCAGUUACAUUAUUUAUGUCUAUCAUUUUGGAAGUGAUUAUAUGAAGUGGUAUACCUUUAUCCCCAUUUUUAUAAUCGUUAUCUUUUUCUAUUGACAGGAACAUGUUAGAAAUGCAGAUGAGCUAGAUGAGGGGAAUACAGUCCAGGAAGGGAUUGGUGAGACAGAGUUUAGCACAUCGAGGUCUAACUGGAUACAGUGUCAGGAAAUUAAACCCAGUUCUUUAUUAGCAGACACACAGGCACAGAAACACACUGUUAAUGGCACUCUAACACCAGCCCUAAAGGACAUAGACACCCAUUCCAAACAGUCAUCCAUAAAUGAUGUAUGAGUGCAGCAGUAUAAAGUUAUUACUCAUCCACUGACCUAAACAACUCACCCUUCCAACUCAGCCCUUCUUCCUCCUCCAAACCUCCCUAACUCAACACCUUCUUCCUCCUCCGAACCUCCUUAACUCAACACCUUCUUCCUCCUCCGAACCUCCUUAACUCAACACCUUCUUUCUCCUCCGAACCUCCCUAAGUCAACACCUUCUUCCUCCUCCGAACCUCCCUCACUCAACACCUUCUUCCUCC
Long non-coding RNA from Esox lucius (northern pike), 4206 nucleotides. Lineage: Eukaryota; Metazoa; Chordata; Actinopteri; Esociformes; Esocidae. The record is from Ensembl.